UCUCUGCUGUGAUGCCAUUGAUUUUACAUGUUAGACUAUGGAGAUGGAUUCAAUCCAUCGCUGAGAACAACGCACUCGUUGCCUGAGCAGAGA
Small nucleolar RNA from Selaginella moellendorffii, 93 nucleotides. It matches the Rfam family "Small nucleolar RNA R64/Z200 family". From Rfam's summary of the family: This family of plant small nucleolar RNAs belong to the C/D class of snoRNA which contain the C (UGAUGA) and D (CUGA) box motifs. This family includes Arabidopsis thaliana snoRNA R64 and Oryza sativa snoRNAs Z200 and J16. Most of the members of the box C/D family function in directing site-specific 2'-O-methylation of substrate RNAs. The record is from Rfam. NCBI's taxonomy places the organism in Eukaryota, Viridiplantae, Streptophyta, Lycopodiopsida, Selaginellales, Selaginellaceae.